RNAcentral lists this ribosomal RNA (460 nucleotides) under uncultured bacterium. Its description in RNAcentral is "partial 16S ribosomal RNA". It matches the Rfam family "Bacterial small subunit ribosomal RNA", at positions 338 to 795 of the family's 1533-position model. The record is from RNAcentral.
CCUACGGGAGGCUGCAGUGAGGAAUAUUGGUCAAUGGCCGGAAGUCUGAACCAGCCAAGCCGCGUGAAGGACGAAGGUGCUAAGCAUUGUAAACUUCUUUUGUCGAGGCACACAAUAAGGCUCGAGAGCCGUACCGAGUGUACUUGAAGAAAAAGCAUCGGCUAACUCCGUGCCAACAGCCGCGGUAAUACGGUAGGUUCGGGCGUUAUCCGGAUUUUUUGGGGUUAAAGGGAGCGGAGGCCGAAUGGCAAGCGUACGGUGAAAUGUCCGGGGUUAACCCUGGCCUGGCCGUGCGAACUGGUGUGCUUGAGUGCGCGGAAGGAAGGCGGAAUUCGUGGUGUAGCGGUGAAAUGCUUAGAUAUGACGAAGAACCCCGAUUGCGAAGGCAGCUUGCUGGAGCGGAACUGACGCUGAUGCUCGAAAGCGUGGGUAUCGAACAGGAUUAGAUACCCUAGUAGUC